RNAcentral lists this ribosomal RNA (330 nucleotides) under Triticum aestivum (bread wheat). Its description in RNAcentral is "partial small subunit ribosomal RNA". The record is from RNAcentral. Lineage: Eukaryota; Viridiplantae; Streptophyta; Magnoliopsida; Poales; Poaceae.
AUGAUCCGAACCGCAUACCACUCCACGUGGUAUUUGAUGAAUAAAGUUUGGCUAAACCCUCAAAAAAACAAAAAUCAGCCAAACUCCACCGCCUCCUCGCCGCCGGCCCGUGUCCUCCACCACGCCAUCCUCCGCCGUGCCGUCCUCCCCGCACCACAGCCUGCUCCUCUCCGUCGUGCCCUCCUCCUCGCGUCGUCCGAGUCCUCCGCGUGCAGUUCGCUGAAGCCGAGGCCCAGGCCAGCUCGCUCUGGGCCUGCACCGACGACCACCACGGGCUGCUCAGCACGCUCCUCGCCGCCACGAGCAACGACCGGGAGGAUGAGGAGGUGA